This 486-nucleotide ribosomal RNA is filed under the name uncultured bacterium. RNAcentral describes it as "partial 16S ribosomal RNA". It matches the Rfam family "Bacterial small subunit ribosomal RNA", at positions 29 to 507 of the family's 1533-position model. The record is from RNAcentral.
AUUGAACGCUGGCGGCAUGCCUUACACAUGCAAGUCGAACGGCAGCACGGGUGCUUGCACCUGGUGGCGAGUGGCGAACGGGUGAGUAAUACAUCGGAACAUGUCCUGUAGUGGGGGAUAGCCCGGCGAAAGCCGGAUUAAUACCGCAUACGAUCUACGGAUGAAAGCGGGGGACCUUCGGGCCUCGCGCUAUAGGGUUGGCCGAUAGCUGAUUAGCUAGUUGGUGGGGUAAAGGCCUACCAAGGCGACGAUCAGUAGCUGGUCUGAGAGGACGACCAGCGGCAGGGGGGGGGGAAGAGGGACAGGAGGCAGACGGGAGGCACAGGUGGGGAGGGUGGGACAAUGGGCGAGAGUUGGGACAAAGAAGGGCGCGCGGGAGAAGAAGGCGUUCGGGUUGGAAAGCAGGUGUGUGCGGAAAGAAAACGUUGGCUCUAAUACAGUCGGGGGAUGAAGGGACCGGAAGAAGAAGCACCGGAUAACUACGGG